Molecule: ribosomal RNA, 253 nt
Filed under: uncultured bacterium
Lineage: Bacteria
Description: partial 16S ribosomal RNA
Rfam family: Bacterial small subunit ribosomal RNA
Source: RNAcentral
UACGUAGGGUGCGAGCGUUGUCCGGAAUUACUGGGCGUAAAGAGUUCGUAGGUGGUUUGUCGCGUUGUUCGUGAAAACCGGGGGCUUAACCCUCGGCGUGCGGGCGAUACGGGCAGACUUGAGUACUGCAGGGGAGACUGGAAUUCCUGGUGUAGCGGUGGAAUGCGCAGAUAUCAGGAGGAACACCGGUGGCGAAGGCGGGUCUCUGGGCAGUAACUGACGCUGAGGAGCGAAAGCGUGGGGAGCGAACAGG